This 459-nucleotide ribosomal RNA is filed under the name uncultured bacterium. RNAcentral's name for it is "bacterial SSU rRNA". It matches the Rfam family "Bacterial small subunit ribosomal RNA", at positions 28 to 507 of the family's 1533-position model. The record is from RNAcentral.
GAUGAACGUUGGCGGUGUGCCUAAUACAUGCAAGUCGAACGGAGACUGUAGCAAUACUGUCUUAGUGGCGAACGGGUGAGUAACGCGUUGGUGAUCUGCCUCGAAGUGUGGAAUAACCUCCCGAAAGGGAAGCUAAUACCGCAUAGUCUCUCAAGGUUUAGAAAAUUGAGAGUAAAGGAUUUAUUCGCUUCGAGAGGAGCCUGCGUCCCAUCAGCUAGUUGGUAGGGUAACGGCCUACCAAGGCAAUGACGGGUAGGGGACCUGAGAGGGUGGCCCCCCACAAUGGAACUGAAACACGGUCCAUACACCUACGGGUGGCAGCAGUAGGGAAUAUUAGUAAUGGGCGAAAGCCUGAACUAGCAACGCCGCGUGUGCGAAGAAGGCCUUGGGUCGUAAAGCACUUUUUGAGAGGAUGAGGAAGGACGGUACGUCUCAGAAUAAGUCUCGGCUAACUACGUG